This 266-nucleotide long non-coding RNA is filed under the name Rattus norvegicus (Norway rat). Its description in RNAcentral is "long non-coding RNA NONRATT006216". The record is from RNAcentral. Lineage: Eukaryota; Metazoa; Chordata; Mammalia; Rodentia; Muridae.
CGCGUUCUCGCCUGGCCUGACAACCCGGAGCCCAGAGCAUGCUUUGGGGAUCUUUAUGAUGUUCGAGUUGAAGACACAUUUGAAUGGUGAUAGAUUCGGACUACAAGAAUCUGCAGUCCCGAGGGAAGGACGUGCAGCCUUCCUGGUCAUCCUUAGUCGGAGACCCAUGUCUCUGUGCCCUUUCAAUCAACCAUUCCAACUCUUACCUGGCCUACCCCGGAAGCCAGAGUACAGGCGAGAUUGUACUCUAUGACGGAAACUCCCUG